UAUACUGCAGUCGAGCGACAGAUGAGAAGCUUGCUUCUCUGAUGUUAGCGGCGGACGGGUGAGUAACACGUGGGUAACCUACCUAUAAGACUGGGAUAACUCCGGGAAACCGGGGCUAAUACCGGAUAAUAUUUUGAACCGCAUGGUUCAAUAGUGAAAGACGGUUUCGGCUGUCACUUAUAGAUGGACCCGCGCCGUAUUAGCUAGUUGGUAAGGUAACGGCUUACCAAGGCGACGAUACGUAGCCGACCUGAGAGGGUGAUCGGCCACACUGGAACUGAGACACGGUCCAGACUCCUACGGGAGGCAGCAGUAGGGAAUCUUCCGCAAUGGGCGAAAGCCUGACGGAGCAACGCCGCGUGAGUGAUGAAGGUCUUCGGAUCGUAAAACUCUGUUGUUAGGGAAGAACAAAUUUGUUAGUAACUGAACAAGUCUUGACGGUACCUAACCAGAAAGCCACGGCUAACUACGUGCCAGCAGCCGCGGUAAUACGUAGGUGGCAAGCGUUAUCCGGAAUUAUUGGGCGUAAAGCGCGCGUAGGCGGUUUCUUAAGUCUGAUGUGAAAGCCCACGGCUCAACCGUGGAGGGUCAUUGGAAACUGGGAAACUUGAGUGCAGAAGAGGAGAGUGGAAUUCCAUGUGUAGCGGUGAAAUGCGCAGAGAUAUGGAGGAACACCAGUGGCGAAGGCGGCUCUCUGGUCUGUAACUGACGCUGAUGUGCGAAAGCGUGGGGAUCAAACAGGAUUAGAUACCCUGGUAGUCCACGCCGUAAACGAUGAGUGCUAAGUGUUAGGGGGUUUCCGCCCCUUAGUGCUGCAGCUAACGCAUUAAGCACUCCGCCUGGGGAGUACGACCGCAAGGUUGAAACUCAAAGGAAUUGACGGGGACCCGCACAAGCGGUGGAGCAUGUGGUUUAAUUCGAAGCAACGCGAAGAACCUUACCAAAUCUUGACAUCCUUUGACCGCUCUAGAGAUAGAGUCUUCCCCUUCGGGGGACAAAGUGACAGGUGGUGCAUGGUUGUCGUCAGCUCGUGUCGUGAGAUGUUGGGUUAAGUCCCGCAACGAGCGCAACCCUUAAGCUUAGUUGCCAUCAUUAAGUUGGGCACUCUAGGUUGACUGCCGGUGACAAACCGGAGGAAGGUGGGGAUGACGUCAAAUCAUCAUGCCCCUUAUGAUUUGGGCUACACACGUGCUACAAUGGAUAAUACAAAGGGCAGCGAAUCCGCGAGGCCAAGCAAAUCCCAUAAAAUUAUUCUCAGUUCGGAUUGUAGUCUGCAACUCGACUACAUGAAGCUGGAAUCGCUAGUAAUCGUAGAUCAGCAUGCUACGGUGAAUACGUUCCCGGGUCUUGUACACACCGCCCGUCACACCACGAGAGUUUGUAACACCCGAAGCCGGUGGAGUAACCUUUUAGGAGCUAGCCGUCGAAGUAACCAAUU
This 1438-nucleotide ribosomal RNA is filed under the name Mammaliicoccus sciuri. RNAcentral describes it as "bacterial SSU rRNA". It matches the Rfam family "Bacterial small subunit ribosomal RNA". Lineage: Bacteria; Bacillati; Bacillota; Bacilli; Caryophanales; Staphylococcaceae. The record is from RNAcentral.